RNAcentral lists this ribosomal RNA (200 nucleotides) under uncultured bacterium. Its description in RNAcentral is "partial 16S ribosomal RNA". It matches the Rfam family "Bacterial small subunit ribosomal RNA", at positions 1301 to 1500 of the family's 1533-position model. The record is from RNAcentral.
CAGGCUGCAACUCGCCUGCAUGAAGUCGGAAUUGCUAGUAAUCGUAGGUCAGCAUACUACGGUGAAUACGUUCCCGGGCCUUGUACACACCGCCCGUCAAACCAUGAGAGUUGGCAACACCCGAAGUCGGUAGUCUAACCGCAAGGAGGACGCCGCCGAAGGUGGGGUUGAUGAUUAGGGUUAAGUCGUAACAAGGUAUC